This 510-nucleotide ribosomal RNA is filed under the name uncultured fungus. RNAcentral's name for it is "SSU rRNA". It matches the Rfam family "Eukaryotic small subunit ribosomal RNA", at positions 569 to 1078 of the family's 1831-position model. The record is from RNAcentral. Lineage: Eukaryota; Fungi.
AGCAGCCGCGGUAAUUCCAGCUCCAAUAGCGUAUAUUAAAGUUGUUGCAGUUAAAAAGCUCGUAGUUGAAUUUCGGAAUCUGUCCGUUGGUCGGGCUUCAUUGUCCGUACUGGUGUGAUGGGUUCUUACCUUCUGAAUAACCAGCAUGCCAUUCAUUUGGUGCGUUGGGGAAGCAGGACUAUUACCUUGAAAAAAUUAGAGUGCUCAAAGCAGGCUAGUGCCUGAAUACAUUAGCAUGGAAUAAUAAAAUAGGACGGCAUGGUUCUAUUUUGUUGGUUUCUAGGAUCACCGUAAUGAUUAAUAGGGAUAGUUGGGGGCAUUAGUAUUCAAUUGUCAGAGGUGAAAUUCUUGGAUUUAUUGAAGACUAACUUCUGCGAAAGCAUUUGCCAAGGAUGUUUUCAUUAAUCAAGAACGAAAGUUAGGGGAUCGAAGACGAUCAGAUACCGUCGUAGUCUUAACCAUAAACUAUGCCGACUAGGGAUCGGACGAUGUUAAUUUUUUAAUGACUCG